RNAcentral lists this ribosomal RNA (253 nucleotides) under uncultured bacterium. RNAcentral's name for it is "partial 16S ribosomal RNA". It matches the Rfam family "Bacterial small subunit ribosomal RNA", at positions 524 to 776 of the family's 1533-position model. The record is from RNAcentral.
UACAGAGGAUGCAAGCGUUAUCCGGAAUGAUUGGGCGUAAAGCGUCUGUCGGCGGCUUUUUAAGUCCGCCGUCAAAUCCCAGGGCUCAACUCUGGACAGGCGGUGGAAACUACCAAGCUGGAGUACGGUAGGGGCAGAGGGAAUUUCCGGUGGAGCGGUGAAAUGCGUAGAGAUCCGGAGGAACACCAGUGGUGCAAACGGCGCCCUGGGUCCGAACUGACGCUGAAGCACGAAAGCGUGGGGAGCGAACGGG